Molecule: ribosomal RNA, 263 nt
Filed under: uncultured bacterium
Lineage: Bacteria
Description: partial 16S ribosomal RNA
Rfam family: Bacterial small subunit ribosomal RNA
Source: RNAcentral
UUAGUGGCGGACGGGUGAGUAACGCGUGGAAAACCUGCCGUAUACUGGGGGAUAACACUUAGAAAUAGGUGCUAAUACCGCAUAAGCGCACAGCUUCGCAUGAAGCGGUGUGAAAAACUCUGGUGGUAUACGAUGGUUCCGCGUCUGAUUAGCUAGUUGGUGGGGUAAUGGCCUACCAAGGCAACGAUCAGUAGCCGGCCUGAGAGGGUGAACGGCCACAUUGGGACUGAGACACGGCCCAAACUCCUACGGAAGGCAGCAGG